GACGAACGCUGGCGGCGUGCUUAACACAUGCAAGUGGAGCGACGAACCAGGGCUUGCCCUGGGGCAGAGCCGCGAACGGGUGAGUAACACGUGGGUAACGUGCCCCGAUGACUGGGACAACCCGGGGAAACCCGGGCUAAUACCGGAUGUGCCCCCUCACAUCAGUGAGGUGUGUAAAGGAAGCUUCGGCCUCCGCAUCGGGAUCGGCCCGCGGCCCAUUAGCUUGUUGGUGAGGUAACGGCGCACCAAGGCUGCGAUGGGUAGCUGGUCUGAGAGGACGAUCAGCCACACUGGGACUGAGACACGGCCCAGACUCCGACGGGAGGCAGCAGUGGGGAAUCUUGCGCAGUGCGCGAAAGCGUGACGCAGCAGCGCCGCGGGGGGGAAGACGGCCUGCGGGUUGUAAACCCCUUUCAGUUGGGACGAAGGUCGGGCGGUUAACAGCCGUUCCGGCUGACGGUACCUUCACAAGAAGCCCCGGCUAACUAC
Molecule: ribosomal RNA, 489 nt
Filed under: uncultured bacterium
Lineage: Bacteria
Description: partial 16S ribosomal RNA
Rfam family: Bacterial small subunit ribosomal RNA
Source: RNAcentral